CCGAUUUUUUGACGAGCGCAUCUAUUAGAUUAAAACCAAUCGGGUUUCGGCCCGUCAAUUGGUGACUCUGAAUAACUAUGGCUGAUCGCAUGGUCUUGAACCGGCGACGUGUCUAUCAAGUGUCUGCCUUAUCAACUGUCGAUGGUAGUUUAUGUGCCUACCAUGGUUGUAACGGGUAACGGAGAAUAAGGGUUCGACUCCGGAGAGGGAGCCUGAGAAACGGCUACCACAUCCAAGGAAGGCAGCAGGCGCGCAAAUUACCCACUCUCGGCAUGAGGAGGUAGUGACGAAAAAUAACGAGACCGUUCUCUCUGAGGCCGGUUAUCGGAAUGGGUACAAUUUAAACCCGUUAACGAGGAUCUAUGAGAGGGCAAGUCUGGUGCCAGCAGCCGCGGUAAUUCCAGCUCUCAAAGUGUAUAUCGUCAUUGCUGCGGUUAAAAAGCUCGUAGUUGGAUCUGCGCCUCAGGACUUGGUCCGCCCACUGGGCGAGAACUGGGCUCCUGGGCUAGUACUGCUGGUUUUCCCUACGUUGCCUUCAUCGGUCGCGUAGGGUGGCUAGCGAGUUUACUUUGAAAAAAUUAGAGUGCUUCACGCGGGCUUAUGUCUGAAUACUCGUGCAUGGAAUAAUAGAAUAGGAUCUCGGUUCUAUUUUGUUGGUUUUCUGAUCUGAGAUAAUGGUUAAGAGGGACGGACGGGGGCAUUCGUAUCGCUGCGUGAGAGGUGAAAUUCUUGGACCGUAGCGAGACGUCCGACUGCGAAAGCAUUUGCCAAGAAUGUCUUCAUUAAUCAAGAACGAAAGUCA
RNAcentral lists this ribosomal RNA (802 nucleotides) under Anisakis simplex sensu lato. Its description in RNAcentral is "SSU rRNA". It matches the Rfam family "Eukaryotic small subunit ribosomal RNA", at positions 185 to 992 of the family's 1831-position model. The record is from RNAcentral. RNAcentral also lists the same sequence under 1 other name. Lineage: Eukaryota; Metazoa; Nematoda; Chromadorea; Rhabditida; Anisakidae.